Molecule: ribosomal RNA, 558 nt
Filed under: uncultured eukaryote
Lineage: Eukaryota
Description: SSU rRNA
Rfam family: Eukaryotic small subunit ribosomal RNA
Source: RNAcentral
UUGCGGUUAAAAAGCUCGUAGUUGGAUCUCGGCGGGCAGGGGGUGGUUCGCUCUUCAGUGCUACUGCCCCGCUUUGCCCGUGUGAUUGGCGGAGGUUUCGGGGUGCUCUUCGUUGAGUGACUCGGAGCGCCGUCAGGUUUACUUUGAAAAAAUUAGAGUGCUCAAAGCAGGCUUUUCACGCUUGAAUAUUCGUGCAUGGAAUAAUGGAAUAGGAACUCGUUUCUAUUUUGUUGGCUUUCGGAAAUCGAGUUAAUGAUUAACAGGGACAAUUGGGGGCAUUAGUAUUCAGACGACAGAGGUGAAAUUCUUGGACCGUCUGAAGACUGACUACUGCGAAAGCAUUUGCCAAGAGUGUUUUCAUUAAUCAAGAACGAAAGUUAGAGGUUCGAAGGCGAUCAGAUACCGCCCUAGUUCUAACCAUAAACGAUGCCAGCUAGCGAUCUGCCGAGUUUUUUUUGUAGGCUCCGCAGGAAGCUUUCGGGAAACCAAAGCUUUUGGGUUCCGGGGGAAGUAUGGUUGCAAAGCUGAAACUUAAGGAAUUGGCGAAGGCACCACAGA